Molecule: long non-coding RNA, 668 nt
Filed under: Fukomys damarensis (Damara mole-rat)
Lineage: Eukaryota; Metazoa; Chordata; Mammalia; Rodentia; Bathyergidae
Description: lncRNA (ENSFDAG00000023617.1)
Source: RNAcentral
CAAGAAUGCUUUGUCUUGUCCUUUAUGAGACUUGCUUACAUUAAUUUCCAUAGAAACCACACAACUGUGUGGGGGCUGAAGGAUCAGAAUGGAUAAACACUAGUUACUCCCGUAGAGGUCUGAGAGACUAGUCAAGGACAAACUCUUGACUAGUCGGAACAAACUCCAUCCCAGUUAUCUCUAACAGAACUCUGUGCGGAUCUGUGCUCCGGAGUAAGCAAGAUAAAAAGCAGAUCAUGUUCUUAAGUACUCUUUGCUGGAAAACAUCACGGAGUGUUUGUUUGAACUAAAGUAAUCCCGCUUGUGUAAGAUAAGGAUAUAAAAACCCAAGCAGUCUAGCAAUAAAGUAGUCUUUUAGCCUUUUAGCUUUUGCAUGCUAUCUGCUGUGUCUGUGUAAUUCUUUUCUUUACCGAACCCCGACAACUGGUGCCGAGAACUUGGAUCCGACCCUCCUUAGAGGUGGGGAGACUCCGCGGGACAGCAGCGACUUCUCCAUCGAUACUGGGAAAGGUCUGCGGAAAAAGGGAAAGCAACACUCCAUAAUCAAGUAUGAUGCAGACAUGCAGUCAAUCUACCUUGGGCAAGUGAGUGAACACUGCAGUUGAAAGUCACCAAGGGUUUUCUGGAUCUUUGUAAAAUGACAACAUGUAGUUGAAUCUUAAGAAGGC